Molecule: ribosomal RNA, 497 nt
Filed under: uncultured bacterium
Lineage: Bacteria
Description: partial 16S ribosomal RNA
Rfam family: Bacterial small subunit ribosomal RNA
Source: RNAcentral
GAUGAACGCUGGCGGCGUGCCUAACACAUGCAAGUCGAGCGAACAGACGAGGAUCUUGCUCCGCUGACGCGAGCGGCGGAUGGGUGAGGAACACGAGGAUAACCUCCCUUGAAGAAUGGGAUAACUUCGGGAGACCGGAUCUAACAUCCGAUAAGAUAGUGAACCUCAGGGUUCAAUAGACAAAGACCGUUUUGCUGUCACUUAUAGAGGUUUCCGAGCCGGAUUAGCUAGUUGGUACGGUAACGGCUUACCAAGGCGACGAUGCGUAGCCGAACUGAGAGGAUGAUCGGCCACACUGGAACUGAGACACGGUCCAGACUCCUACGGGAGGCAGCAGUAGGGAAUCUUCGGCAAUGGGCGAAAGCCUGACGCAGCCAGGCCGCGUGUGUGAAGAAGGUCUUCGGAUCGUAAAGCACUGUUAGUUGGGAAGAACGGAUGUGUAAUUAAACCUGGCCGUCUUGACGGUACCUACUGAAAAAGCACCGGCUAACUACGUG